RNAcentral lists this ribosomal RNA (484 nucleotides) under uncultured bacterium. Its description in RNAcentral is "partial 16S ribosomal RNA". It matches the Rfam family "Bacterial small subunit ribosomal RNA", at positions 30 to 507 of the family's 1533-position model. The record is from RNAcentral.
AUUGAACGCUGGCGGCAGGCCUAACACAUGCAUGUCGAGCGGAUGAAGGGAGCUUGCUCCUGGAUUCAGCGGCGGACGGGUGAGUAAUGCCUAGGAAUCUGCCUGGUAGUGGGGGAUAACGUCCGGAAACGGGCGCUAAUACCGCAUACGUCCUGAGGUAGAAAGUGGGGGAUCUUCGGACCUCACGCUAUCAGAUGAGCCUAGGUCGGAUUAGCUAGUUGGUGGGGUAAAGGCCUACCAAGGCGACGAUCCGUAACUGGUCUGAGAGGAUGAGCAGUCACACUGGAACUGAGACACGGUCCAGACUCCUACGGGAGGCAGCAGUGGGGAAUAUUGGACAAUGGGCGAAAGCCUGAUCCAGCCAUGCCGCGCGUGUGAAGAAGGUCUUCGGAUUGUAAAGCACUUUAAGUUGGGAGGAAGGGCAGUAAGUUAAUACCUUGCUGUUUUGACGUUACCAACAGAAUAAGCACCGGCUAACUUCGUG